RNAcentral lists this ribosomal RNA (253 nucleotides) under uncultured bacterium. RNAcentral describes it as "partial 16S ribosomal RNA". It matches the Rfam family "Bacterial small subunit ribosomal RNA", at positions 524 to 776 of the family's 1533-position model. The record is from RNAcentral.
UACAGAGGGCGCAAGCGUUGUUCGGAUUUACUGGGCGUAAAGGGCGUGUAGGCGGAUGUGUAAGUCGGGGGUGAAAGGCCAGGGCUCAACCCGGGACGGUCUCCCGAAACUGUGCAUCUCGAGAAAGUCAGAGGCAGGUGGAAUUCCAGGUGUAGAGGUGAAAUUCGUAGAGAUCUGGAGGAACACCGGCGGCGAAGGCGGCCUGCUGGGGCUUUUCUGACGCUGAGGCGCGAAAGCGUGGGUAGCAAACAGG